Small nucleolar RNA from Lycium ferocissimum, 105 nucleotides. Lineage: Eukaryota; Viridiplantae; Streptophyta; Magnoliopsida; Solanales; Solanaceae. The record is from RefSeq and is a predicted model, not a curated record.
AUAAUGGUGAGGACAAUCUCUGAGAAGACCCUUGAACCUCUCCCAAGCCUGAUACAGGUUCUCUCCAUCUUUCUGCCUAAAUAAGAUGAUCUCUCUCCCGAGUCU